ACGAACGCUGGCGGCGCGCCUCACACAUGCAAGUCGAACGGAGCUGAGAGAAGCUUGCUUUUCUUAGCUUAGUGGCGAACGGGUGAGUAACGCGUGAGUAACCUGCCCUGGAGUGGGGGACAACAGUUGGAAACGACUGCUAAUACCGCAUAAACCCACGAUCCGGCAUCGGAUUGAGGGAAAAAGAUUUAUUCGCCUCAGGAUGGACUCGCGUCCAAUUAGCUAGUUGGUGAGGUAACGGCCCACCAAGGCGACGAUUGGUAGCCGGACUGAGAGGUUGAACGGCCACAUUGGGACUGAGACACGGCCCAGACUCCUACGGGAGGCAGCAGUGGGGGAUAUUGCACAAUGGGGGAAACCCUGAUGCAGCGACGCCGCGUGGAGGAAGAAGGUUUUCGGAUUGUAAACUCCUGUCGUUAGGGACGAUAAUGACGGUACCUAACAAGAAAGCACCGGCUAACUACGUG
RNAcentral lists this ribosomal RNA (467 nucleotides) under uncultured bacterium. RNAcentral describes it as "partial 16S ribosomal RNA". It matches the Rfam family "Bacterial small subunit ribosomal RNA", at positions 29 to 507 of the family's 1533-position model. The record is from RNAcentral.